This is a long non-coding RNA of Sapajus apella (tufted capuchin), 818 nucleotides long. RefSeq lists it as uncharacterized. The transcript has 2 exons. The record is from RefSeq and is a predicted model, not a curated record. Lineage: Eukaryota; Metazoa; Chordata; Mammalia; Primates; Cebidae.
UGUGUUCAUGGUGCCUGGGGACUCUAAGGCUCUGUCUACGCUUCAGUUGUCCACCUUCCUAGGGCCUAGUGGAGUCCCAUGCAACGAUGUAUGCAGUAGGUCCACCCUGUGUGCAGUAGGACCACCAUGUGUGCAGUAGGUCCACCAUGUGUGCAGUAGGACCACUCUGUGUGCAGUAGGACCACCCUGUGUGCAGUAGGACCACCCUGUGUGCAGUAGGACCACCAUGUGUGCUGUAGGUCCACCAUGUGUGCAGUAGGUCCACUAUGUGUGCUGUAGGUCCAACAUGUAUGUAGUAGGUCCACUAUGUAUACAAUAGGUCCAACAUAUGUGCAGUAGGUCUGCAAAGACUUUGCUGAUUGAUCUGAUCUCAGGAAGGAUAGGAGGAUAUGAAGGUUUUUUCUGUGGCUUUGGGGGUAAGAGGCGUUUAGGGCUACACACCUGACCUGACCUAAUGGACGCUCUGUGGGCCUAUGUGACAGCAAGACGAAAGGCUGAACACCCCUCUUGGACCCCAUGUCAGAGCCACGGCUCCCAAAACGGUGCGGGGUGGCGUGCUCCGAGGCCUCUUCCUUGGGUUUACUGACGCAAAGUGUGGAUUCUCACAGAUAAUUACAAAUGACUUCCGUCUACCCCUGGAGAGUUCUAUUGCUGAGUGGUCUGAUUUCCUGGAUUAUGUCCCAAGAAAGCUGAGGACAGGGCAUUGCCGCCAGCCCCCAAAGUGCUCAUUUAGUGCCCAUGGAAGCUUGGUGCUUUGCUUUGUGUGUCAUGAUGGCGCAUCAGGAGAUUGCAAAAAAAGAAAGAGAGAGAGAAAUAAA